This 412-nucleotide long non-coding RNA is filed under the name Homo sapiens (human). RNAcentral's name for it is "non-protein coding lnc-PHACTR1-1:4". The record is from RNAcentral. Lineage: Eukaryota; Metazoa; Chordata; Mammalia; Primates; Hominidae.
CGGGCAGGAAGCUCCACCCUCACUCCAGGAAGCUCUGGCUUCGUUUGUGAAACCCGACGGGAUGAAGGGCUAGGCUCGCCUCCAGAGUAGUGUAGUUUCUCCCGCCGUGGGCACCCGGCCCCUUGCUACCCCGCAAAAUCUCGCGACCAUUUACUCUGGCCAUCCGAAGGCGCGUGCCUGGGUUGCACUCCCGUGUCCGGCCCUCGAGGUUCUUGCCUAGGGAAGACCCGAGCCCUAGGGCCGUACUUAAGCUGCCUGCGUGCAGGACCCGGGUUUUGCUUUUGCUAAUUUCCUCCCCACCCCAGCCCGGCCCCUUGCUACCCCGCAAAAUCUCGCGACCAUUUACUCUGGCCAUCCGAAGGCGCGUGCCUGGGUUGCACUCCCGUGUCCGGCCCUCGAGGUUCUUGCCUAG